Strigops habroptila (Kakapo) is the source of this 1239-nucleotide long non-coding RNA. RefSeq lists it as uncharacterized. The record is from RefSeq and is a predicted model, not a curated record. Lineage: Eukaryota; Metazoa; Chordata; Aves; Psittaciformes; Psittacidae. The transcript is spliced from 7 exons.
GAAGAGCCACGAAAGCUAUUGUGAUUACUUCUGUGGCAAAGCAUUGCUUCAAGAAAAACAUCUCAGAGACAUAGUUGACUGCUACUACUUUGGUCUCAGCUAGUUGCAGAAGAGAGGUUUUGGCCUGAACUACUGCUGGGAGCCUCUUCUUCCACCUUCCUGAGAGACCAGUACUGCAGCAGCAGCAGGCUGAGGUCAUGAUGCUGACUGCCAGGCGAUGGGACCAUUGCCUGUACCCUGGCCUGGGGCGUACAGAGCAAGACGUGAGAAACUACUGGACACGGCACGAGAAAUUGCUGGACCUGACAGAUCACAGAGUGAGAAGCUGACAGCUUUACAGAGGUAUGAAGGUACUUGGGAACAGCAAGACAUUGGCUGAGAAUAAAGAUUCCAGUUCAGCAUAACCCUCUUCACAACACUUGGACUGACUGCAUUCCUGGGAAGCAGGGCACAGCUUUGUUAACGCAGCAGAGUUGCACGUGGUUGCCUCAGGAGUUCAUCUGGCAGCUUCACUGCAAGGAACUGAUUCAGAAGUGUAAGUUAAGCUGCUCAGGCUUUGUGUGUGGAUGUUGCCCUACUUCUGUGCUCUGCCUCUGUGUGCUUCCAAUUCAGUAUACCUGCUCUGGUCUGCCAGCUUCUUCAACUGGUAACUGUGCCUUCCCUGGCAAAUGUGCACAGCACCUCACCUGGCAACGGUCUAACUCAAGAAGCUUCUUUCACAACAUUGGAGAGUGUUGUGUGCCACGGUUGUCCAUUUACUACUGCGAGCAGCUGUACCAUUUAAUUCUGGAGUGACGGUCCAACAGCUUACCUGAGCAGUAAGAGCUGAGCAGGAAUCUGAAGUCUCUGUGACUGAACUGGAAGCCGGAUACAAAAGCAUUAUUCUUCAGUUGCAAGAUUAUGUCUCUUUUCUUCAUGUGUAUAAAAAUCAAUAAUAUUUAACACCUUCUCCAUGGCCUGGUUGUGACAAAGGAGCAAUCAGAAAAUGGCACAACUUGUUUCAAAGGUGGAUGAUAGAGGGCAAAUGCAAGCGCAAACCUUGCAAUUCCACAGCAGAAGCUUUUCUGUGUACUAGUGGAGAAUAGACAAAAAUAUCUCUAAUAACAUCUCCUGGCUUUUUGAGAGCUAAAAACCAUGGAACGUAAAGGAUGAUUGAUGACAUCAACUAAGCAACCAAAAAAUACGUAUCUAGAAAGAGUAAUCUCUGUUCUGGUACCAAAUAAAUAUUUCAUUUCUCUU